Empidonax traillii (willow flycatcher) is the source of this 450-nucleotide long non-coding RNA. RefSeq lists it as uncharacterized. The record is from RefSeq and is a predicted model, not a curated record. Lineage: Eukaryota; Metazoa; Chordata; Aves; Passeriformes; Tyrannidae. The transcript has 3 exons.
GUUACUUACAACCUCUGCCUCCCCACCUACCCUCUGGCUACAGACAUGGGCCAUCCUUGCCCUCCACAACUUGUUCACCACCAACUGCUAACCAGGCACCUGUGCCUGGGCAGGCACACUUUGAUCCAAUGCUGGACUUCUUCCAUUUGCACAUGGCUGUCAUGGAUCUUUGAGGGGUUAAAGCCAGUGUGCCAGUUUGUACGGAGGAAUGGGAUGGUAGUCGUGUUGGAGACUCUGUGGGGUCACUUUGGCUAUGAACAGGACAAAUAGGGAUCACAUUCCCUUCAAGAGAGAGAACACUUGUAACUAUAAAUAAACUUCUCAUGGAGAUCAGCUGGGACCUCAUAGCAGAAAUUUUAUUUAAAACAACUGGAAAUUACUUCACCUCGUCUUAAGCCACAGCGUAACACAUACCUUCUGCUCCUCCAGCCCUGCUGUCUGUGCCUGUAG